RNAcentral lists this ribosomal RNA (813 nucleotides) under uncultured bacterium. RNAcentral's name for it is "bacterial SSU rRNA". It matches the Rfam family "Bacterial small subunit ribosomal RNA", at positions 83 to 918 of the family's 1533-position model. The record is from RNAcentral.
ACCUUCGGUCUAGCGGCGGACGGGUGAGUAACGCGUGGGAAUAUGCCCUUCGGUUCGGAAUAGCCCCGGGAAACUGGGGGUAAUACCGGAUACGGUCUACGGACGAAAGAUUUAUCGCCGAAGGAUUAGCCCGCGUUGGAUUAGGUAGUUGGUGGGGUAAUGGCCUACCAAGCCGACGAUCCAUAGCUGGUUUGAGAGGAUGAUCAGCCACACUGGUACUGAGACACGGACCAGACUCCUACGGGAGGCAGCAGUGAGGAAUAUUGGACAAUGGGCGCAAGCCUGAUCCAGCCAUGCCGCGUGCAGGAAGACGGCCCUAUGGGUUGUAAACUGCUUUUAUACGGGAAGAAACACCCCCUCGUGAGGGGGCUUGACGGUACCGUAAGAAUAAGGAUCGGCUAACUCCGUGCCAGCAGCCGCGGUAAUACGGAGGAUCCAAGCGUUAUCCGGAAUCAUUGGGUUUAAAGGGUCCGUAGGUGGACGGUUAAGUCAGGGGUGAAAGUCUGCAGCUCAACUGUAGAAUUGCCCUUGAUACUGGUCGUCUUGAAUUAUUGUGAAGUGGUUAGAAUAUGUAGUGUAGCGGUGAAAUGCAUAGAUAUUACAUAGAAUACCAAUUGCGAAGGCAGAUCACUAACAAUAUAUUGACACUGAUGGACGAAAGCGUGGGUAGCCGAACAGGAUUAGAUACCCUGGUAGUCCACGCCGUAAACGAUGGAUACUAGCUGUUCGGUUUAUCUGAGUGGCUUAACCAAAGUGAUAAGUAUCCACCUGGGGAGUACGGGCGCAGCCUGAAACUCAAANGAAUUGACGGGG